RNAcentral lists this transfer RNA (67 nucleotides) under Diplometopon zarudnyi. Its description in RNAcentral is "tRNA-Phe". The record is from RNAcentral. Lineage: Eukaryota; Metazoa; Chordata; Lepidosauria; Squamata; Trogonophidae.
GUUAUUGUAGCUUAAUACAAAGCCUGACAUUGAAGCUGUCAAGAUGGUCUCUCACUUCCCAAUAGCA